AUUGAACGCUGGCGGCAGGCUUAACACAUGCAAGUCGAGCGGGGGAAGGUAGCUUGCUACCGGACCUAGCGGCGGACGGGUGAGUAAUGCUUAGGAAUCUGCCUAUUAGUGGGGGACAACAUCUCGAAAGGGAUGCUACUACCGCAUACGUCCUACGGGAGAAAGCAGGGGAUCUUCGGACCUUGCGCUAAUAGAUGAGCCUAAGUCGGAUUAGCUAGUUGGUGGGGUAAAGGCCUACCAAGGCGACGAUCUGUAGCGGGUCUGAGAGGAUGCGCCACCGCACUGGAACUGAGAAACAGCCCAGGUUCCUACUGGAGGCAGCUGUGAGGAAUAUUGGACAAUGUGGGGAACCCUGAUCCAGCCAUGCCGCGUGUGUUAAGAAGGCCUUAUGGUUGUAAAGCACUUUAAGCGAGGAGGAGGCUACUUUAGUUAAUACCUAGAGAUAGUGGACGUUACUCGCAGAAUAAGCACCGGCUAACUCUGUGCCAGCAGCCGCAGUAA
This 501-nucleotide ribosomal RNA is filed under the name uncultured bacterium. RNAcentral's name for it is "partial 16S ribosomal RNA". It matches the Rfam family "Bacterial small subunit ribosomal RNA", at positions 30 to 523 of the family's 1533-position model. The record is from RNAcentral.